RNAcentral lists this small RNA (56 nucleotides) under Sinorhizobium meliloti 2011. Its description in RNAcentral is "putative ncRNA". Lineage: Bacteria; Pseudomonadati; Pseudomonadota; Alphaproteobacteria; Hyphomicrobiales; Rhizobiaceae. The record is from RNAcentral.
GUGGUCGGAACAGAAGAGGAUGAGCGUAUCGUCGAGCAUCCGCGUCCGCGUGAGCG